RNAcentral lists this long non-coding RNA (802 nucleotides) under Ananas comosus (pineapple). Its description in RNAcentral is "long non-coding RNA (ACOM_LNC025852)". The record is from RNAcentral. Lineage: Eukaryota; Viridiplantae; Streptophyta; Magnoliopsida; Poales; Bromeliaceae.
UUGAUACUGAAUCAAGAUAGUUGUGGGUUUAAAGCAUAUGACAUUAAAGGUGGUGAGAUCGAUCACAUUAAGGGUGCGUUUGGUUCGCGCUAUCUUUUAAAAAAAUAUGACGGUAUUUGGCUAAACGCACUAAGUAAUCUAGUUGGUAAUAUUGGAUUCAUUUGGGAAUAAGAUUCACCCCAAAGUACUAAUCUAAUUCUCUUGAGGGAGGAUGGGUAUCCUCAUAUUAAUGCAUUGGGGUAAUCAUAAUAUAUCUAAUCUCUUUCUUUCUUCCUACCCGCCGGCUAAUUAAUAUUAUUUUUUUUACACUCUAACCUUAUAUCUCUCUCUAAACUUAUUUCUCUCUAAAAUUCAACUUUUUUUUCUCUCUCUAAACUAAGCUUUCUCUCUCUCUUUCUCUUUCUAAAAUUUCAACUCUCUCACUCUCUCUAAUUUUGACUAUAUAUUUUUUUUUCUAUUUUUUUAAUUAUGCUCUCUCUCUCUAACUUAUACUCUCUCUCCCUUUUUUUUCAAAAAAGAUGUUGAAACUUUUGGUAACAUUAUCUAAAAUUAAAUAAAUAAAUAAAUAAAUUGUAUAUUUUUUGUAAUAUUAAAUAACAUGGCUAAUUAAUAUUACCGUGCGAACCAAACACAGAAAUUUCACAUUCUUAGUAAUAGAAUGAAUAGGAAUAAAAUUCUCAGAUAUCUUUUAUUCCUAGUAAUCUUUCAUAAUGCGAACCAAACGCACCCUAAAGGUGAUGAGAUCGAUUGCGAUUGAUGGGAUGGGCUCGCGUAUGGGAGGAGGGCGAACAAAAUUGAGUAA